This 404-nucleotide ribosomal RNA is filed under the name Verrucomicrobiota bacterium. RNAcentral describes it as "Verrucomicrobia bacterium partial 16S ribosomal RNA". It matches the Rfam family "Bacterial small subunit ribosomal RNA", at positions 355 to 776 of the family's 1533-position model. The record is from RNAcentral. Lineage: Bacteria; Pseudomonadati; Verrucomicrobiota.
UGGGGAAUAUUGCACAAUGGGGGAAACCCUGAUGCAGCGACGCCGCGUGAGCGAUGAAGGCUUUCGAGUCGUAAAGCUCUGUCCUAUGGGAAGAUAAUGACGGUACCAUAGAAGAAAGCCCCGGCUAAUUACGUGCCAGCAGCCGCGGUAAUACGUAAGGGGCGAGCGUUGUCCGGAAUUAUUGGGCGUAAAGAGUGCGUAGGCGGCAAAUUAAGUCAGAUGCGAAAACUAAGGGCUCAACCCAUAGAUUGCAUCUGAAACUGAUAUGCUUGAGUCAAGGAGAGGAAAGUGGAAUUCCUAGUGUAGCGAUGGAAUGCGUAGAUAUUAGGAGGAAUACCGGUGGCGAAGGCGACUUUCUGGACUUGAACUGACGCUGAGGCACGAAAGCGUGGGGAGCAAACAGG